This 117-nucleotide non-coding RNA is filed under the name Chlorocebus sabaeus (green monkey). Lineage: Eukaryota; Metazoa; Chordata; Mammalia; Primates; Cercopithecidae. The record is from Rfam by way of RNAcentral.
GCCGGGUGUGGUGGCUCACACCUGUAAUCCCAGCACCUUGGGAGGCUGAGGUGGGUGGAUCACCUGAGGUCGGGAGUUCAAGACCAGCCUGACCAACAUGGAGAAACCCUGUCUCUA